AGUGAACGCUGGCGGUAGGCCUAACACAUGCAAGUCGAACGGCAGCACAGUAAGAGCUUGCUCUUACGGGUGGCGAGUGGCGGACGGGUGAGGAAUACAUCGGAAUCUACUUUUUCGUGGGGGAUAACGUAGGGAAACUUACGCUAAUACCGCAUACGACCUACGGGUGAAAGCAGGGGAUCUUCGGACCUUGCGCGAUUGAAUGAGCCGAUGUCGGAUUAGCUAGUUGGCGGGGUAAAGGCCCACCAAGGCGACGAUCCGUAGCUGGUCUGAGAGGAUGAUCAGCCAAACUGGAACUGAGACACGGUCCAGCCUCCUACGGGAGGCAGCAGUGGGGAAUUUGGGACAAGGGGCGCAAGCCUGAUCCAGCCAUACCGGGUGGGUGAAGAAGGCCUUCGGGUUGUAAAGCCCUUUUGUUGGGAAAGAAAAGCAGCAGGUUAAUACCCCGCUGUUCUGACGGUACCAAAAAAAUAAGCACCGGCUAACUUCGU
Molecule: ribosomal RNA, 491 nt
Filed under: uncultured bacterium
Lineage: Bacteria
Description: partial 16S ribosomal RNA
Rfam family: Bacterial small subunit ribosomal RNA
Source: RNAcentral